RNAcentral lists this ribosomal RNA (309 nucleotides) under Triticum aestivum (bread wheat). Its description in RNAcentral is "partial small subunit ribosomal RNA". The record is from RNAcentral. Lineage: Eukaryota; Viridiplantae; Streptophyta; Magnoliopsida; Poales; Poaceae.
AUGGCAAUUAUGAAGAACAAUACAAGGGCUCUAUGCUUGGUAGUUCUUCUUAUGUCUGCCACUUUUUCAUGUCAUGCAACUGGGAGAAACAAAGGUACGACUGCAUGGAGAGCUUUGUGCGGAGACUUUAAGAUAUGCGAGAACCCAACGGUGAACAAUGUUAAUAUUUGCAGACUUAAUUGUGAAUGGUCUGGUUACAUCUUCGAUGACAGCUACUGCGACCGUGAUAGUUAUCUUGGCAAGGGGCGAUGGUGGAGUGGCAAGGUCUCCAUCAGGAUUGAAGGGUGCACGGUGCAAGCCUCAUGGUGA